Molecule: small nuclear RNA, 104 nt
Organism: Marmota marmota marmota (Alpine marmot)
Lineage: Eukaryota; Metazoa; Chordata; Mammalia; Rodentia; Sciuridae
Source: Ensembl
GGGCUCACUUCAACAGCGUAUAUAUGAAAAGUGGAAUGAUACAGCGAUCAGCAGGGCCCGUGCCCAAGGAUGACAUGAAAAUUCAUGGAAUGUUCCAUUCAAAA